UCUGAGAGCCGGUACCAAAUUACGUUGUGUGGUGUUCCAACUUGAAUCCAAUCAACUUAAGAUUGUAUUCUCCCGACUAUAUCCAGAACGGCCGUUGAAAGGGGCUCAGCAGGAAGUUGUCUUCAGCAAGGCGGAAAUCAGUUUCUGUUCCUUACUGUUUCUACAAUAUCCAUUUCUCUUUGCAGUAUCCAAAACCGUGCUAAUUUGUGCGUUUCUAUUUUCACAAUCUGCAGCAUUUCGAAAACAAUUGCAUCAUUUUCGAAGCGAGGCGAUUUAUUUUUCAACCACGAUCAAUAAUCUACUGUUGUAUGGUAUAUGAAUGCUAAUUCCGCAUUGAUUUUUCAAAUGUUUACGAAAAAUAGGUCACAGCAUUGUUUGGCUUCUUAAUUGACACAUAUCCACGCGUAAAACUCAUUUUAGGUAGAUGAGUGGAUAAGCUACCUAAAAUGAAGCAGUAUUGACAACCAGUUGUUGGAUGCAUCAAUUGCAUUGGUUUUGUAGUCGGAGCAGCAAGUGAGUUAUAUUCAUUGUAUGUUCUUGCAGAUGGCUCGCCUGCCUGUGUACACCUGAAAGUUUGCCCUGGAUUAGUAGUAUAGAUUGCUUCAUAUCAUAUUGUGUGAUUUCUUUGUAAUAUAUUUUCUGGGCUUGCUGCGUUGGUACACAUACUCUUUAGCACUGAAUAAGUGAAAUACUCUCGCUGACGUUUCCCAAAUAAAUAUGGUGAUUGACAAAUGCGUAAGUGUGAUACUUGUUCAGUGCUAAAGCAGCAGAUUCGGAUGCAUCAUCCAUCGGCACCCUUGCUCGAAAGCAUGAGACAGGUAGCAGACUUUUGUUUUAAUACACUGUUGGUGACAACUUCCAUCUUAUUUAUGUUGUAAUUCCAAGGAAUUUCGUAUUUAGUUUAUAAUAUUAAGCUUUGAAUGAAACACAGUAAUUUAAUUACAAAGAGAGAAGUAUCAACUAUUGAAUAACCAAAGAGACAAAUAAUUAGUAGUAGAGCCUUAACAUUCUAUUAUUUAAAUGGUCAAGUUGUAAUAGGAAGCCACUACCAAAUUGCAAGAGAGAUUUAGAAUGAUUGCUUCCAUUGGUAGUAGAAGGUUGGCAUUUAUUUACUACUAAGGGUUUUGCACAAUACUUAGUAUAUCGAAAGGUCACAUGCAUUUCAAAUCUUGGAUUGGGUUUAAUAGACAAAAGUUUUCAAAGCAAUUUGGUUUUUUAUUUAUUUUUAUUUUCAUUCUAUAAUUUCUAGACUUGUCAUUGUUAGCCAUGUUAUCUUUGCAUUACAUCUCUUUUUUUGUUAUUGUGCAUUUUCUACUACCUUAGUAUUUUAUACGUUUUAUAUUUUUAUUUUCUUUUAUACUACAUGUUUUUACCUUCAAUUCCUUUGCAAAACCUUGUCCUCUCAUUAGAGUGGAGUAAAAAAGAUAUGAGAUGUUGGAAUUAAAUUGAUAAUUAUAGAAUAUAACUUUUUCACUAUUAUUGAUGCAAAAAAUGAGAUUGUGUAAAAGUUGAAUAUCUUACUUAGAUAGAUAGAAGUAAGUAAAAGUAGGUAGAAUUAUCUUAGAUAGAUAUUAUCUUUGCUAAAAAAGACUUUGAAGAAGUUCUUUAGACAAGGAUUAUCUAAUUAGACUCGCUACCAAAUAUGUUAUAUGAUCAAUAGAACUUGUCCUACAAGUUUCUUACUGUUAGAAAGUUCUAUUAAUAACAACCUUCAACUUGAUGUUUAGACCACAAGUUUUGUGGUCUUUAAAAAGCACUCAACACCUUCUUGAUAGGUAAUGUAUGUAGAAAUAAGAAUAAAGGUGCUAUUAAUCUU
This 1816-nucleotide long non-coding RNA is filed under the name Physcomitrium patens. RNAcentral's name for it is "long non-coding RNA (PPAT_LNC009337)". The record is from RNAcentral. Lineage: Eukaryota; Viridiplantae; Streptophyta; Bryopsida; Funariales; Funariaceae.